Molecule: transfer RNA, 69 nt
Filed under: Bos taurus (domestic cattle)
Lineage: Eukaryota; Metazoa; Chordata; Mammalia; Artiodactyla; Bovidae
Also listed under: 5 other names
Rfam family: tRNA
About the family: Transfer RNA (tRNA) molecules are approximately 80 nucleotides in length. Their secondary structure includes four short double-helical elements and three loops (D, anti-codon, and T loops).
Source: Rfam by way of RNAcentral
CCUGGUGGCUCAGUAAGUAAAGAAUUUGCCUGCAAUGCAUGAGACCCAGGUUCGAUUCCUGGGUCAGGA